This 339-nucleotide long non-coding RNA is filed under the name Elaeis guineensis (African oil palm). Its description in RNAcentral is "long non-coding RNA (EGUI_LNC015912)". Lineage: Eukaryota; Viridiplantae; Streptophyta; Magnoliopsida; Arecales; Arecaceae. The record is from RNAcentral.
UGGGCGUUGGAUCUUCAAGGGAGAAGAGAGGAAGAAGAGAGAGGGGGUGUAGGGACCUUCUAAGGGAGGCAUGGGGUGCUGGAAUUCAAUGCUUAGGAGCCUUAGAGAAGGUCCCUUUAAAUAGGCAUAAGGUUUGAAUCCUAUUCAAAACUAAACAACCACUUAAUACAAAUCUUACUUGCAUUAGAAAUUCUUAUUCCUUUAGUUAUUUGACCCCCUUUAGAAAAUUAUUUUGGCGCCAACUAUUGAAGCCCUUGCACCCAUAAAUACACAUGCCACAUGGGGCCUAGGGGACGCCCCAUGCUGGUCCAACAUGCCCUCUAAUGGGUGGGCACUCCC